This 73-nucleotide transfer RNA is filed under the name Ailuropoda melanoleuca (giant panda). The record is from Rfam by way of RNAcentral. Lineage: Eukaryota; Metazoa; Chordata; Mammalia; Carnivora; Ursidae.
GCGUGGCUGGCUCAGUCGGUAGAGCAUGGGAUCCUUGAUCUCAGGUUUGUGGGUUUGAGCCCCACGUCGGGUG